RNAcentral lists this ribosomal RNA (465 nucleotides) under Triticum aestivum (bread wheat). RNAcentral describes it as "partial small subunit ribosomal RNA". The record is from RNAcentral. Lineage: Eukaryota; Viridiplantae; Streptophyta; Magnoliopsida; Poales; Poaceae.
AUGUUGACCUCUGGUGAUGAUAUUCAUAACUGGUGUGCUCCCUUGGGGAGUCACGGCGGGAGCAAUGAAUUCCUUGAUUUGGAACUGUUGGGGGCGGGGAACCGCCAGAUAGUUCGUGGGGUGUUGGCCCUCUCUAAAACCAAUGUCCCCAAGCUUGUCUUUCUCUGUGAGACGAGGCAAGCAGCUGAUAAGAUGGAAAAGCUAAGGUGGAGGCUAGGUUUGAAAGGUUUCUGUGGUGUUAGUUCUGUGGGACUAAGUGGUGGCCUUGCUCUAUAUUGGGAUGAAUCAUUACUAGUCAUGGUGCUAGACUCGUGUCAGCGUUUUAAUGAUGUUUCCGUGGAGGACAAGGGUUGUGAUAAAAAGUGGCGUACGACCUUUGUAUAUGGAGGGACAAGGGUUGAGAAUCGGCACCGCAUGUGGGAUCAUCUCACUCAUUUGAAAUCGGUUCGCAAGAUCCUUGGCUAG